GUGUCCCACUUUAUUCCCUGAGCCACAGGGAAUCCGUUUUCUAGUACUUCUCUGUUAUAAAGUCUGCCUGCCUUAGACAAACACAUUUGGAAAAUAGAAGUGCAACCACAAGGAUGUGCAGACCCUAUCAGAAUAAAAUCGUAGAACCUUACCAGUCAUCCGGUAUAAUUUCCACAUUUUCCAGAUGAGGUCCGGGGAAUGAGGUGAUUCGCCCAAAAGCACACUACAAAUUGGAGUCACCAGCAGGUCUGCUAUUUUGCCACUAAACCAAUCUGCCGGUAAGAACUUUGUAGCACAGCUAGAAUGUAAACUGUGUUUUUUUGGUGGUUUUUUUUUUUUUUUGAGACGGAGCCUUGCUCUGUCGC
This 365-nucleotide long non-coding RNA is filed under the name Homo sapiens (human). RNAcentral describes it as "non-protein coding SNHG15:21". Lineage: Eukaryota; Metazoa; Chordata; Mammalia; Primates; Hominidae. The record is from RNAcentral.